AUUGAACGCUGGCGGCAUGCGUAACACAUGCAAGUCGAACGGUGGGUAGUGCUUGCACUGCCCAUAGUGGCGGACGGGUGAGUAAUGCGUAGGAAUCUGUCUUAGAGAGGGGGAUAACCAGGGGAAACUUUGGCUAAAACCGCAUAGCCUCGAGAGAGGAAAGCAGGGGACUGUAACAGGCCUUGUGCUCUAAGGUGAGCCUACGUCAGAUUAGCUAGUUGGUAGGGUAAAGGCCUACCAAGGCGAUGAUCUGUAGCUGGUCUGAGAGGACGGACAGCCACACUGGGACUGAGACACGGCCCAGACUCCUACGGGAGGCAGCAGUGGGGAAUAUUGGACAAUGGGGGGAACCCUGAUCCAGCGAUGCCGCGUGUGUGAAGAAGGCCUGCGGGUUGUAAAGCACUUUCAGUUGGGAAGAGAAGCGACCUGUGAAUAAUGGGUUGUGGAGACGUUACUAACAGAAGAAGCACCGGCUAACUCUGUGCCAGCCGCCGCCGUAA
This 500-nucleotide ribosomal RNA is filed under the name uncultured bacterium. RNAcentral's name for it is "partial 16S ribosomal RNA". It matches the Rfam family "Bacterial small subunit ribosomal RNA", at positions 30 to 523 of the family's 1533-position model. The record is from RNAcentral.